GAAGACGUAUGAAGAGCAGCAGUUACAAGGACUGUUCGCUAUUUGUGAAAGGUAUUUUAUGAUUUAUUUGGUUGUGUAUAUGUAACUAAAUGUAAGGCUUGAUUGUAAUGGUUAUAUUUUGUCAUGUAGACACCAAAAGUGUAUUUUUUGUUGGCCAAGACCUCCGAAGUGGCAGGCGGCAAUGAGUUUUCACGGUGUUGGUGUACCAAGACAACCCCAAAGACACUAUUAAACACCCGUCAUUUGGAAACCGU
This is a long non-coding RNA of Hippocampus comes (tiger tail seahorse), 254 nucleotides long. RefSeq lists it as uncharacterized. The transcript has 2 exons. The record is from RefSeq and is a predicted model, not a curated record. Lineage: Eukaryota; Metazoa; Chordata; Actinopteri; Syngnathiformes; Syngnathidae.